RNAcentral lists this unclassified non-coding RNA (437 nucleotides) under Hevea brasiliensis (rubber tree). The record is from RNAcentral. Lineage: Eukaryota; Viridiplantae; Streptophyta; Magnoliopsida; Malpighiales; Euphorbiaceae.
GUUUUGAGGAUUUUUAGAAUAAAAUGGAAUUACAAGAUUUAUAUCCUGUGAAGUUUAGCAUGUGGAUAAUGUGUUGGUAAUAUUGAAUAUUGAAUAAUUUUAUUAGACAUGAAAUGCGUUCUUUUUUUUGCCCUUCUUUUAUGUUUUUAUUAUCAUUUCAAUUUUAACUAUCUAGUGUGGGUAUGAUUAUUGAUGUAAAGCUAGAAAGUGUUGAUGACAUUGGUAGAAGGUGCCAGUGGUGUGGAGUUGGAUAUAAGGGGACUCGGUUGGAAGGAUUUUCUUUAGUUUAUGCGUUGUAUUUUAAGAAUAUGGGGUUCUUAUGUCACAAUAAAGCUUUUCAAGUACACUCAAAUGAAAAGCUAUGGUUUAUGCAAAUGAGUUUUGGCAGUAAAGGGACAUGAUAAACAAUGAGUGUUGGGGAGAUAAGAAUGCCAAGA